GCGGGAGCCGAAAAUGGUUAAGCUUAACUCUCUUAACUUUUCUCAUUCAUUCUCUAUGGUAGUUCUUAACACUACGGAUGUAAUUUACUUUUUCACCACUAGCGGGAUUUUGGGGGCGCUGUUUCCACAUCGCCUUAGUAGUAAGGAUUUUACAGGAAGAGCCUUCAGGAAGAGAAAACAACAACAAUCCUGCGGCCAGAUUUGAUCCGAUCGCUGUUAAAACACAAGAGCACAACAAGUUAAAGUCAAGUUAAAGUCUGAUGUAAGUAAAAAAAAAUGUACAAGACAAAGUAUCUAAUCUGAAGACAUUUCUCUUUCCGUCAUUGUUGAACAUGAAACUCCAGCGGUGAGGAUAACAGCUGGAUGAGAAGAAUGUCUAACUAGAAACUUUGAGCAGUUUUGUGUGUGUGUUUGUGUGUGUGUUUUCAAAGCCUUUUUUUUUUUUACCCAAGGUAGUGUGGAGGUGAACAGGGGUUACAUUACAUUUUCUAUGCUAUUUUUAUAAUGCACAACAGGGGUUACAGUACUUUAUGAUCAAUUUAAUGGAUUAUAUGUAUGCAGGUAUAUUGCAUAGCAGGAAUAUGCAAAAUUAAAGAUUUGAGGAACUGUUUAGCUGAAAGAUCAGUGGAGCCACCUUCAAGUAGUGAGGACAACCAGCUGGUUGGAUUUGGUGUGCAUUCUAAGAAGACCUGGAGGGAUGUCUGGUAGAGAAGAGAAGAUGGAUGUGCAUCAUUUAUCCUCAGGAAACAGUGGGUUUCAGGCAGCAAAACGUUCCUGCUCCAGCAGUACCUGAAGAAGAAAGAGGCUCAGACUCAGAGCUCUUCAGAACCUGCUCUUCCUAAACCUUCUUCUAGUCUUCCAGUGUCUUCUUUAGAGAUGGAAGAUGAUGAAGAGUUGGAGAGAAUGAUGCUCUAUGUCUCUCCAUCCAAACUCCUCCCUUUACAAGAGCAGGGACAUGUAGUGAAGAAGAUGACAGGACCAACGUGUUUAGAAACAAUCCCAACCCAGCCAAGUUCACUGAGUAAAGGUCUAGCUGCUGCUGCUGCUGUCGCUGGUACCUGAUGGUUCUGUCGUAAACCAGGAUCACCUUUUCCUUUCCUCUGUUUGCUGGUUGGCCACGUUCUGUUCUAAUGCAGGUGUUUUGUGUGAUUGCUUUUGUGAUGCUGAAGGUAUUCAUUGUUCGUCGUUGAGGGUAAAUUCAGAAAUAUUUUAUUUGCAUGAGUUUCUCAUGAAAGUGAUUGAAAGAAACCAGUCUUAAAAAGCAGAAUUACAACAAAAGUACAUGUCUUAACACGUCAGAGUAAAGUGGUUACACAUGGAUUAUUACAUCAUAAUGGUACCUUUCCUGGUCAAUCAAAAUAUUAAAAAAGGAAAAUAAUUAUUCAUUUAUUGAUUUUCAUACCACACCUGUUCUAUUGAGCAUGUUUUCUUAGAUGGUUUUGAGUGUUUUGCACAAUUACUAACAAAGAACUCUAAAUACUUUGGGCUUUAGUGAUGGAUAUUUCUGUUGAUCUGAAUCCAGACCAGCCUGAGAAGUCCAGCUGUCCUGCUGCUACACAUGCAGUUUCUUCUGCUCCAGUGAAGACUCCGAUGCCAGUACCACCAGAGUUCCUCGCCUUGGAAAUGCCUCAAAGUGUCCAGGAUAAAACCUACACAGUCGUUGGAAGACCCUCAGCUCAGUCUGCAGCUCCUCCUCCUGCUCACUUUCAGCCAACGCCUGCUGCUUCACCACUUCCAUCUUAUGACCAAGAUGUUAGAAGCUGGAACUGAUCUCCCCAGCAGAGGAUCUGGAUGAAAACAGAGAUGGAGGCCUUAGGACUGUGGCCCGGGUGUCCACCUGUGAGACCUGCAAUGAAUAUGAUCUGCUUGUGGCGUAUCCCACCUCAGAACAUCAUUUACCGUAAAACCUUUGGAGACCCAGCAGCUGUGGUAUAAACUCACUCAAGGAAGUGAAACUGUCACUGUGCCAGUUGUGACUCUCCCUCAUGCUUAAACCAGACGAAGCUCCUCUAACUCAGACCGACGUUGAAAUAAUGGUGAAGGAGAUUGUAGGUCUGCAGCAACAACAGCAGAAACCUGGAAAAAAGAUGAUACACAACUGUCUUGCUUGUGGGCAGCCUUGUUACUUUGAGGAUGGAUCUUCUGUUCAUUUAUCUGUCUGGGGAUGUAAAAUACCUCUACUGCUCCAAAAAGGUACACUAGAUCUAUGCAGCAGAAGUCCUUACCAACCCCAGAAUCCCAUUUGCAGACUUUGCUGUCAGUCCAUUUUUUGACAGAGAGUUAAAGGCUGCAUUCAUGGUCACACACUGAUUAUGAUAGAACUCCUGAUUUUAUCCUUCAAUGUGAAAAUAUUUGUAAUUUAGUUUGUGAAAUCUAUUUUGUGAAUACAAUUUUCUUACAGUUUUGUUCUUGAAUUGUUUAGAAAAAGCAACAAUAUUUACUUCUACCUCAAUUCAUUUUACAUCUUUAAAUUACUUGUAUUAAUUUUUGCAUAUUUAAAUCCUUCUGCCCUUUAAUUGUAGAUACAUGGUUGAACGUUUUGUGUUAAAUACUGUUUAUUUAUUUAUUGCUUGUUGAUAUCUUAAUAAAGCAUGGUUGAAAUUGAAAUGACUGUUUUUAGGCACAAGGAAAGAUGGAAGUAGAAAACAAUAAUUAUGAAAUGUCAUUUUCAGUUUAACAUUAAAACAUUUAUUAUA
Non-coding RNA from Oryzias latipes (Japanese medaka), 2696 nucleotides. Lineage: Eukaryota; Metazoa; Chordata; Actinopteri; Beloniformes; Adrianichthyidae. The record is from RefSeq and is a predicted model, not a curated record.